AUUGAACGCUGGCGGCAGGCUUAACACAUGCAAGUCGAGCGGAGUGAUGGUGCUUGCACUAUCACUUAGCGGCGGACGGGUGAGUAAUGCUUAGGAAUCUGCCUAUUAGUGGGGGACAACAUCUCGAAAGGGAUGCUAAUACCGCAUACGUCCUACGGGAGAAAGCAGGGGAUCACUUGUGACCUUGCGCUAAUAGAUGAGCCUAAGUCGGAUUAGCUAGUUGGGGGGGUAAAGGCCUACCAAGGCGACGAUCUGUAGCGGGUCUGAGAGGAUGAUCCGCCACACUGGGACUGAGACACGGCCCAGACUCCUACGGGAGGCAGCAGUGGGGAAUAUUGGACAAUGGGGGGAACCCUGAUCCAGCCAGGCCGCGUGUGUGAAGAAGGCCUUAUGGUUGUAAAGCACUUUAAGCGAGGAGGAGGCUCUUUUGGUUAAUACCCAAGAUGAGUGGACGUUACUCGCAGAAUAAGCACCGGCUAACUCUGUGCCAGCAGCCGCCGUAA
This 503-nucleotide ribosomal RNA is filed under the name uncultured bacterium. RNAcentral's name for it is "partial 16S ribosomal RNA". It matches the Rfam family "Bacterial small subunit ribosomal RNA", at positions 30 to 523 of the family's 1533-position model. The record is from RNAcentral.